AGAACAUUGAAAAUGAAAACCGCAUUACCAUAGCAGCAGCCCAGCAGUCACAACUUCCACAAAUUUUAUUAUUUCAGGAGUCAUGGGUCCUGGAUUUUGGACACAUUCAAACACUUAGCCAGCAUGAUAGACAGAUGCAAGAUUCACUGUUUUCAUCAAAUGCAUUUUUUUCAUAUGUGCAUGUGAUAUCAUAACAUGAGCUCAAAGGAUGGAACUUACAUUGCAUUGGCAUAUUAUUUGGCUGUCUUUCUGUACAAGUUAAACUUCAGGAUUACUUGGAGGUGGGAAGAAUGCAGAGAAACAUGAAGAAAAAAUAAAUAAAA
This is a long non-coding RNA of Crotalus tigris (Tiger rattlesnake), 323 nucleotides long. RefSeq lists it as uncharacterized. The record is from RefSeq and is a predicted model, not a curated record. The transcript has 3 exons. NCBI's taxonomy places the organism in Eukaryota, Metazoa, Chordata, Lepidosauria, Squamata, Viperidae.